RNAcentral lists this transfer RNA (72 nucleotides) under Camelus bactrianus (Bactrian camel). It matches the Rfam family "tRNA". From Rfam's summary of the family: Transfer RNA (tRNA) molecules are approximately 80 nucleotides in length. Their secondary structure includes four short double-helical elements and three loops (D, anti-codon, and T loops). RNAcentral also lists the same sequence under 1 other name. The record is from Rfam by way of RNAcentral. Lineage: Eukaryota; Metazoa; Chordata; Mammalia; Artiodactyla; Camelidae.
GGGUAUAUAGCUCAGUGGUAGAGCUCACGCCUAGCAUGCACGAGGUCCUGGCUUCAAUACCCAGUACCUCCA